RNA transcript from Gossypium raimondii (Peruvian cotton), 1352 nucleotides. It is a transcript of the gene named probable NADH dehydrogenase [ubiquinone] 1 alpha subcomplex subunit 5, mitochondrial, with no coding region annotated. The transcript is spliced from 3 exons. The record is from RefSeq and is a predicted model, not a curated record. Lineage: Eukaryota; Viridiplantae; Streptophyta; Magnoliopsida; Malvales; Malvaceae.
UGAGACGUUGACCCACACGGAAAAAGUCGACGGUUGAGAUUUCUUCACCUAUGAAUUCGCCAGACAACAUUCAACCACCAUCUAAAGCUCAAACUCAAUUCCAUUCUCUCGCUUUCCGAGCUUUGUCGUCCUUUAAUUCAUCGCAACAGAAGAAAACCACCUGAGGGAAGGGAAGCGAUACGGCGGCGCCUCCAGACUCCGACGAUUAAUAGCACAAGCUUUAAAAAAGGAAAAUGUUCCUGCGAUUGGUCUCGCGGCCAUUGUUGGCGAAGUUCAAAGAGACGACGGGGAUCGUCGGGUUAGACGUGGUACCAAACGCCAGGGAAGUCCUUAUCGGGCUCUACAACAAGACCUUGAAGGAGAUCCAGGCCGUACCGGAAGACGAAGGAUACCGUAAGGCCGUGGAGAGCUUCACACGCCACCGUCUGAAGGUAUGCCAAGAGGAAGAAGACUGGGAAAUGAUCGAGAAGCGCCUCGGAUGCGGCCAAGUCGAGGAGCUUAUCGAGGAAGCGCGUGACGAGCUCACUCUUGUCGGGAAAAUGAUCGAGUGGGUUCCUUGGGGUGUUCCCGAUGACUACGGAUGCGAGAUUAUUGAAAAUGAUGCUCCAAUUCCCAAACACGUACCUCAACACCGUCCCGGUCCUCUACCAGAGGAGUUCUACAAGACGCUCGAAGCUGUUUCCAAGAAGGAUGAGCCUAAAAUCACCUCUGGGGAGCCACAGAUAAAGGAGUAAUAGCAUGCUGAAAAGCAUUUGGCUGGAGACAAUUAGGUUUUAAGACUCGAGGCUCGGAGUAAUGUUUUGUAGAUCGAAGUGUUGGCUGUAAAUGGCAUUGUUUGUAUGACUUCCAUAGCUUCCUCUAGGCGGCCACCUUGACCAAGUAUAUCGACCAAGUGAACAUAAUGGUCUAAUUGUGGCUCUAUGUUGUAUAUUUCUCUCAUGGAUUGAAAAUGCUCAAGGCCGAGAUCGGUUAAUUUACCGUUACUACAAGCAGACAGUAUGGACAAGAAUGUUAUAGCGUCCGGUUUAACUCCGGAUAGUUUCAUGUCAUCGAAGGUAGAGAGAGCGGAGGGAAUGUACCCGUUUGAUGUCAAUCCAGAUAUCAACCCGUUCCAUGAAAAAAUAUCUGGCAUUCCAAUCUCCCCGAAAGCUCUUUGUGCAUCGUGUAUGCAUCCGCAUUUUCCGUACAAGUUGACUAGCCCGUUUAAUACUGAAAACCACUUGCACAAACCUGAUUUUACGGAAUGACAGUGAAGUUGCUUUCCGGUCAUUAUUGUGCCCAAAUCGGCUGAUGCAGAUAGGAAACUGGCUGUACUGAAUUCAUCAAUCUUGAUAUCAUCAUUUUUCAUAUCA